This 1373-nucleotide ribosomal RNA is filed under the name uncultured bacterium. Its description in RNAcentral is "bacterial SSU rRNA". It matches the Rfam family "Bacterial small subunit ribosomal RNA", at positions 28 to 1381 of the family's 1533-position model. The record is from RNAcentral.
GAUGAACGCUGGCGGCGUGCCUAAUACAUGCAAGUCGAGCGAACGGACGAGAAGCUUGCUUCUCUGAUGUUAGCGGCGGACGGGUGAGUAACACGUGGAUAACCUACCUAUAAGACUGGGAUAACUUCGGGAAACCGGAGCUAAUACCGGAUAAUAUUUUGAACCGCAUGGUUCAAAAGUGAAAGACGGUCUUGCUGUCACUUAUAGAUGGAUCCGCGCUGCAUUAGCUAGUUGGUAAGGUAACGGCUUACCAAGGCAACGAUGCAUAGCCGACCUGAGAGGGUGAUCGGCCACACUGGAACUGAGACACGGUCCAGACUCCUACGGGAGGCAGCAGUAGGGAAUCUUCCGCAAUGGGCGAAAGCCUGACGGAGCAACGCCGCGUGAGUGAUGAAGGUCUUCGGAUCGUAAAACUCUGUUAUUAGGGAAGAACAUAUGUGUAAGUAACUGUGCACAUCUUGACGGUACCUAAUCAGAAAGCCACGGCUAACUACGUGCCAGCAGCCGCGGUAAUACGUAGGUGGCAAGCGUUAUCCGGAAUUAUUGGGCGUAAAGCGCGCGUAGGCGGUUUUUUAGUCUGAUGUGAAAGCCCACGGCUCAACCGUGGAGGGUCAUUGGAAACUGGAAAACUUGAGUGCAGAAGAGGAAAGUGGAAUUCCAUGUGUAGCGGUGAAAUGCGCAGAGAUAUGGAGGAACACCAGUGGCGAAGGCGACUUUCUGGUCUGUAACUGACGCUGAUGUGCGAAAGCGUGGGGAUCAAACAGGAUUAGAUACCCUGGUAGUCCACGCCGUAAACGAUGAGUGCUAAGUGUUAGGGGGUUUCCGCCCCUUAGUGCUGCAGCUAACGCAUUAAGCACUCCGCCUGGGGAGUACGACCGCAAGGUUGAAACUCAAAGGAAUUGACGGGGACCCGCACAAGCGGUGGAGCAUGUGGUUUAAUUCGAAGCAACGCGAAGAACCUUACCAAAUCUUGACAUCCUUUGACAACUCUAGAGAUAGAGCCUUCCCCUUCGGGGGACAAAGUGACAGGUGGUGCAUGGUUGUCGUCAGCUCGUGUCGUGAGAUGUUGGGUUAAGUCCCGCAACGAGCGCAACCCUUAAGCUUAGUUGCCAUCAUUAAGUUGGGCACUCUAAGUUGACUGCCGGUGACAAACCGGAGGAAGGUGGGGAUGACGUCAAAUCAUCAUGCCCCUUAUGAUUUGGGCUACACACGUGCUACAAUGGACAAUACAAAGGGCAGCGAAACCGCGAGGUCAAGCAAAUCCCAUAAAGUUGUUCUCAGUUCGGAUUGUAGUCUGCAACUCGACUACAUGAAGCUGGAAUCGUCUACGUAAUCGUAGAUCAGCAUGCUACGGUGAAUACGUUCCCGGGUCU